This is a long non-coding RNA of Oreochromis niloticus (Nile tilapia), 2300 nucleotides long. RefSeq lists it as uncharacterized. The transcript is spliced from 3 exons. Lineage: Eukaryota; Metazoa; Chordata; Actinopteri; Cichliformes; Cichlidae. The record is from RefSeq and is a predicted model, not a curated record.
AAGUGUGACAUCAGCGGUCAUGGAGAGUCUCCAUCCAGCUGGAUCACUGUCACAGACAAACACACCACCACACCUCCACCUACAUCCACACCUCCACCUACAUCCUCUGCUCCUAGCUCAACCUCCAUCAAUCUUUCUCCAUCACGCUUUCAUCCUGUAAUUCCUGUGUUGUCAUCAGUCUGUGUUGUGGUUCUACUGGUGUUACUGGUUCUGAUGGUGAGACGAUGUGUUCACAGGAAACCUGAAGCAGAUCAAGCAGAAGUUGGAGAAGAUGACAUCAUCACUCAUGUCAUGUACAACACUGUCAAGAUAACAACAACAGCCAAUCUGAUGAAGCAGAGGUCAUAUUUGAGUUUACAUAUUUUCUUCAAGCCAGGUUUAAUAUAGUAAAGAUAUUUGUUAGUGUUUUUUUGUUUUUUGUUUUUAUCACUAAAGCGAGCUAAAUCUGUUAGUCUUUGGGGGCUGACUCACUAUUGAUGCUUCAAGAGGACAUUAGAGGAACUGCAUCUGCUUAUUUUUGAGAUUUGUAUCUUUGUACUUGUUUUAGUCUUUACUUCAGUUUGAUCUGCCAUAAAUAUAAUUUCAGCAGAAAUUGUAUUUAACUUACUGUUGAAUUGCCACUAAAUAAAUAAAUCUCAAUGGAAGCUGUGUAACGCACUACUUCACACAGAUGAGGGACGUGAUUUCCAAAAACGGAGCGAGUGAGUGAGAGUUGCUUCUAGAAGGACUUCAGUGCAGUUUCCCAGUUGGGAAGUGAGGCCAUACAACAAAAUGUGACAGUCUUUAUUAUGAAGAUGUUUUCUUUGUCAUUUUCUUCUUCGUGUAUCUUAAACUGAAUUUAAUAUGAGGGCAGAAUCAGAUAUAGGUUUUUGAAGCCUGAUCUUGACUUUAAUUAUAUGAUUUUACUAUAGAGCAUGUGAGGGAUGAUCAGAAGUAUAUAGUGAUGUAUAGUAAAUGUGGAUUCUAGGAAAGUAAAUUGACAUUUUCCUGAUUUAGUGUUAUCAAAACUGGAAUUCACAAUAUUCAAGUUUUUAUUUUUUGUGAUAUUUGAUCAUCUUUUUCAGAUGUAGUCAUGUGUUUAACUCUGUACUUACUGAUUGUUGUUCACUGUGAGCUGGACUGUGUGUUUGUGGUCUGUGGUUAACUGAAGCUAACAGCUCUGCAGUCGUCCAGCAUCCUGUUUCUGAUAGAAAGAAAAAAAAAACACUUCAGAAAGUCUGUCGAAGAGAUUUGAAAAGAUGAAGAUCAAAGAGGAUUGUGGACCUAAGAGCAGGCGCUGACAACUUACCGAGUGAGGGUUUUUUUGUUUUGUUUUUUUAUAGUGGGAAGCAACAUAUAAACCAAGCCAGGAAAUGGCUAUAACUUAAACUAAGAAAAACCUAAACUGGGAAAGCUAACAAGGAACAUUCAACCAGCGACAAAGAUCUAAGAAAAACUUGAAAUACAGAGGGAACAACAGGGGAAGACAAGCAGACAAACCAGCAACAAGCAGAGGAAAACUCACAGGGCUUAAAUACACAGGCAGGACGACCAGAGGAUGGGGAACACAGCUGGAAUUGAUCUGACAGAACGAGACAAAGGAAGCAAAGCAGAAUACACUGACAUAGGACAAGGACUAUCAAAAUAAAACAGGAAGCACAAGACAGAAAGACACAGACUCAGAGACAUGACACAUAGACAUAUAAUAUGCACAGAAAACCACCAUGAAUGACAAAUAAUCAAGCAAUAUAACAAUGGGUCAUAGACCCAGUACUGUGGCAGAGACACAUAACACUUGUCACAUGGUUUUAAUUUAUUUAAACACCCUCACUCAUACUUUCCUUAAAUGCUAACCUGUUUUACAGCUGUUGAUUUUAAAAAGAGGAAAGAAGAUGUACACAGAGUAUAGUUCUAGCUUUUUGCUUGUGUUUAAUGGUAGCAUUAGUUGGUCCCUGCAGCCCAUUCAGGUAGUUGAGCACCUUCAGGAGGGCAGAUUUACAUGUGCUGUAACAAGGUUUGCUUUGUUCAGUGUUAUUCAUGUAGUGCCCAAUUAUAACAAAGCCUCACAGACUCCAGUAGGUAACAUACCAGGAGAUGAGACAAAGCAUCAGCCCAGCAGCAGUACUGACUUUUGCUCCUUUGUGUUCCUAUCAGAACCUUUCUAAACUCUCACUGGUAUCAGGUGCUGACAUUACUUUAGUGGGACCUGUGCUCACAACCCAGCACUGUACAGAUCAGAGUUCAGAGGUUGUCUGAACAGUGACAAGAACACCAGGAAAAAGCAAAACUGAGAAAAAUCAGUCAGACAUCAGAGCAAUGAC